Ribosomal RNA from Lottia gigantea (owl limpet), 119 nucleotides. The record is from Rfam. Lineage: Eukaryota; Metazoa; Mollusca; Gastropoda; Lottiidae.
GUAUACGGCCAUACCACGUUGAAAACACCAGUUCUCGUCCGAUCACUGAAGUUAAGCAACGUCGGGCUCGGUUAGUACUUGGAUUGGUGACCGCCUGGGAACACCGAGCGCUGUAGACA